AUUGAACGCUGGCGGAAUGCUUUACACAUGCAAGUCGAACGGUAGAGGGGGCAACCCCUCGAGAGUGGCGAACGGGUGAGUAAUAUAUCGGAACGUGCCCAGUCGUGGGGGAUAACGUAGCGAAAGUUACGCUAAUACCGCAUACGAUCUAAGGAUGAAAGCGGGGGAUCGCAAGACCUCGCGCGAUUGGAGCGGCCGAUAGCAGAUUAGGUAGUUGGGGGGGUAAAGGCUCACCAAGCCAACGAUCUGGAGCUGGUCUGAGAGGACGACGAGCCAAACUGGAACUGAGACACUGUCAAGACUCCUACGGGAGGCAGACGUGGGGAAUUUUGGACAAUGGACGCAAGUCUGAUCCAGCCAUUCCGCGUGCAGGAUGAAGGCCCUCGGGUUGUAAACUGCUUUUGUACGGAACGAAAAGGUCUCUCUUAAUACGGGGGGCUCAUGACGGUACCGUAAGAAUAAGCACCGGCUAACUACGUGCCAGCCGCCGCCGUAA
Molecule: ribosomal RNA, 496 nt
Filed under: uncultured bacterium
Lineage: Bacteria
Description: partial 16S ribosomal RNA
Rfam family: Bacterial small subunit ribosomal RNA
Source: RNAcentral